GGGAUUGCCCUAGUAACGGCGAGUGAAGCGGCAACAGCUCAAAUUUGAAAUCUGGCCCUAGGCCCGAGUUGUAAUUUGCAGAGGAUGCUUUUGGUGACGCGCCUACCGAGUCCCCUGGAACGGGGCGCCACAGAGGGUGAGAGCCCCGUAUGGUUUGACGCCGAGCCUCUGUAAAGCUCCUUCGACGAGUCGAGUAGUUUGGGAAUGCUGCUCUAAAUGGGAGGUAAAUUUCUUCUAAAGCUAAAUACCGGCCAGAGACCGAUAGCGCACAAGUAGAGUGAUCGAAAGAUGAAAAGCACUUUGAAAAGAGGGUUAAAUAGCACGUGAAAUUGUUGAAAGGGAAGCGCUCGUGACCAGACUUGCGCCGGGCGGAUCAUCCAGCGUUCUCGCUGGUGCACUCCGCCCGGCUCAGGCCAGCAUCGGUUUUCGCCGGGGGACAAAAGCUUCGGGAACGUAGCUCCUCUCGGGGAGUGUUAUAGCCCGUUGCGUAAUACCCCGGCGGGGACCGAGGACCGCGCUUCGGCAAGGAUGCUGGCGUAAUGGUCAUCAGCGACCCGUCUUGAAACACGGACCGAGGAGUCAAGCAUUAGUGCGAGUGUUUGGGUGUAAAACCCGCACGCGUAAUGAAAGUGAACGUAGGUGAGAGCUUCGGCGCAUCAUCGACCGAUCCUGAUGUUUUCGGAUGGAUUUGAGUAGGAGCAUUAACGCUUGGACCCGAAAGAUGGUGAACUAUACUUGAAUAGGGUGAAGCCAGAGGAAACUCUGGUGGAGGCUCGCAGCGGUUCUGACGUGCAAAUCGAUCGUCAAAUUUG
This 812-nucleotide ribosomal RNA is filed under the name Magnaporthaceae sp. RNAcentral describes it as "partial large subunit ribosomal RNA". It matches the Rfam family "Eukaryotic large subunit ribosomal RNA", at positions 71 to 913 of the family's 3401-position model. Lineage: Eukaryota; Fungi; Ascomycota; Sordariomycetes; Magnaporthales; Magnaporthaceae. The record is from RNAcentral.